GGCAGCGGCGUCGGCCGGGAGGGAAGUGACGCGACGUUCCGAGGCGGCGGCGCCAGAGUUGUCCGCGCGCCGCUCACGUGACCCGGCUUCGAAGGAGACGUUGCAGGUCAGUGCGGCCGGGCGAGUCCAGCCGCUGCUGCUGCUGAAGCAGCGGCGGCCGCGGUUGUUGUUGUUUGCUGUUGCGGCUCUUUACCCCCCCCUCCUCGUGCGCGUGCGCGGCGCCCCCCUCCCGCCGCUCAGCCGGUCCCUCUGCCUCGUCCUCCGCGCUUCCGCCGGGCUCCGGCCCGCAGGCGGCCCGAAGCCGGAGGGAGACGACCCGGGUUGGGUGGAUGUGGGGUGGCGGGGUGGGGAGGGGAAGGGAAGGGAAGAAGGGACGGGGACAGGGUCUCCCCCGCAGGCUUUCCCCCUUUUUUUGCCGUGUGUGGGACUCCGAUGAUGUGGGACUCUUGUGUCCCGGGCAGCUGUUUACCAGCUCCAUCUGGUACACAGGCGGAAACCCUACCUGCCUGCGGACUGUCUCGCCAGAGUGGUGCAUGCUCUGGUUAUCUCCCGCUUGGACUACUGCAAUGCGCUCUACGUGGGGCUACCUUUGAAGGUGACCCGGAAAAUACAACUAAUCCAGAAUGCGGCAGCUAGACUGGUGACUGGGAGCAGCCGCCGAGACCAUAUAACACCGGUCUUGAAAGACCUACACUGGCUCCCAGUAUGUUUCCGAGCAC
Non-coding RNA from Podarcis lilfordi (Lilford's wall lizard), 719 nucleotides. The record is from the annotation of a GenBank genome assembly. NCBI's taxonomy places the organism in Eukaryota, Metazoa, Chordata, Lepidosauria, Squamata, Lacertidae.